Long non-coding RNA from Salvelinus sp. IW2-2015, 531 nucleotides. RefSeq lists it as uncharacterized. Lineage: Eukaryota; Metazoa; Chordata; Actinopteri; Salmoniformes; Salmonidae. The record is from RefSeq and is a predicted model, not a curated record.
AGCACGGACUCUUCAACUGCAAGAAGUUCUUCCAGCAGUGUGGCUGACCAAAAAGAGUCCCGCGGAGGUGAAGAAAGUCUUCGGGAUCCUGACAACGACGCCAGCGGCUUAUUGAGGAGGAGGAACUCAAAUUCUUCCUCCCAGAGGUUCAACCCGGGGCCCGUGUCCUGACUGAAAAAGAGACCAAGGCCUUCAUGUCUGCUGCUGAGAUGAUGACAGCGACGGCAUGAUUGGAGCAGAUGAGUUCCAGGCCAUGGUCCUAUCCUGAAUACCUGUACAACACCCAUCCUACCUCUUUCUCCUUGCCCAGCUCCCAGCGCUAGGAUUUAUAACUUUAGUUUUCCAUCUGUCAAUCUAUUUGGAACAUUUAUUAUUUUUUUUGCAAGCCUCGGUUCAGAAUACCUACAACUCACCGAUUUUUUUAUUUUGCUUUUUGCAUACGUUUUAGACAGGUCAUUAUAUUAUUGCCCAAAAUGUAUCACUUACCAAAUUAUCGAGAAAAUAAAAUAAUAAAAUGCAUUCUAAAAUCUU